GAUGAACGCUGGCGGCGUGCUUAACACAUGCAAGUCGAACGGAAAGGCUCCUGCUUGCAGGGGUACUCGAGUGGCGAACGGGUGAGUAACACGUGGGUGAUCUGCCCUGCACUUCGGGAUAAGCCUGGGAAACUGGGUCUAAUACCGGAUAGGACGAUGGUUUGGAUGCCAUUGUGGAAAGUUUUUCGGUGUGGGAUGAGCUCGCGGCCUAUCAGCUUGUUGGUGGGGUAUGGCCUACCAAGGCGUCGACGGGGAGCCGGCCGGGGGGGGUGCACGGCCACGUUGGGACUGAGAGACGGCCCAGGCCCCCCCGGGGGGGAGGGGGGGGGAAUUUUGCACAAGGGGGGCAAGCCUGAUGCAGCGGCCCCGGGGGGGGGAGGCCGGCCUUCGGUUUGUAAACCCCUUUCGCUGGGGACGAAGGGCAAGUGAGGGUCCCUGGAGAAGAAGCCCCGGCUACCUACGU
Molecule: ribosomal RNA, 463 nt
Filed under: uncultured bacterium
Lineage: Bacteria
Description: partial 16S ribosomal RNA
Rfam family: Bacterial small subunit ribosomal RNA
Source: RNAcentral